CCUGCCCCCAGGCACGCGUGGAGCCUCCCACCGAAAGAACAGCCUCCCUUUGGCUCUGCUCACCUUCUUGGGCGCCUCGAUACCAAACUUCAGCCCUUCAGGUGUUUUGGACUUCAACUUCCACAAUUCCUAACAGCCUACCGGCUUGCUGUGAGUUUUCCGGGUUUUUUUGGUGUCAGGAGCAACUUGAGUCGCUUCUGGAGUGAGAGAAUUGGCCGUCUGCAAGGACGUUACCCAGGGGAUGCCCGGAUGUUUUGAUGUUUUUCCAUCCUUGUGGGAGGCUUCUCUCAUGUCCCCGCGUGGAGGUGGAGCUGAUAGAGGGAGCUCAUCCGCACUCUCCCCGGGUGAGAUUCGAACCUGGCAGCCUUCAGGUCAGCAACCCAACCUUCAAGUCACGAGGCUUUAGUCCACUAUGCCACCGAGAGCUCCGGGCUGUAUGGCCCUGUUCCAAAAGCAUUCUCUCUUGACGUUCUGCCUGCAUCUAUGGCAAGCAUCCUCAGAGACAAUAUGACAAAUGGUGACCCUACCACAAGGUUUUCUUGGCAAGAUGUGUUCAGAAGAGGGUUGGGACUGACUUCUUCCGAGGUUGAGAAGAAUUUUGUUCUCCAGAGUCACUACAGUAUGUUGACUAUUAAAAGAGCAUUUAGCCAUACAAUACACCACUUGCAGUCGAUCCUGUCUUUUUCCUGGGAAGCCCAUAUAAUAUAUGAACUAGCUGACUUGUAAUUCUCAUUUCAUUUACUGUAUAUUUACAGUGCUGCCUUUUAUCAUCCUUUUCCCUGACUGUCUGAUGUGGAUGUUCCUCCCCAAGGUUAGAAGGAUGCUGUAAAUAAACAUCACCAUCAUAAUUAACUAAAAUAAUGAGGGAAUGGGUGCAACUGAAGGUACAUAUUCUGCCGUAUAGCACCAUUGAUAUUUCCCCUCUGGUGCUCAACCUGGGCUCCCCAGAUAUUUUUGGCCUACAACUCCCAGAAAUCCCAGCCAGUUUACCAGAUGUUAGGAUUUCUGGGAGUUGAAGGCCAGAAACACCUGGGGACCUCAGGUUGAGAACGACUGACCUAAAGGGAUGCAGUUGGCAACUUUUUUCCUAAUAGCAUUCUUCCUUUUCUUCCAUGAGCCAACUAUUUUAGCAGGGUUUGAAAAAGUUACUUUGGGUGACAUUAUCUCCCCAGAACUUUGAUGUAGGUGGUUAAUACAUUGCUUUGAUAGCUACCAUACUACUGAUGCUUUUUGCAAAACAAGUGAGCAUAGUGAUAAGGAUUUCAGUGUAUUGAAAUAAAGCAAGACUGGUGGUGGUGUUUCCUACUUACAGUGAUCUCAGUAUUUUCUUUGUAAUAUUUUUUUCAGAUAAGGGUUUUUGCUUUUGCUACUCCCUCUAAGGCUAAUUUGGGGUGCAUCUAAACUAUAGAGUUAAUGCAGUUUGACACCAGUUCUAUUGCCAGGGUUCAAUACCGUGGUUUUAUGGGAGCUGCAGUUUUACAAGGUCUUUAGCUUCUGCCAGAACGCUGGUGCCUCACCAAACUACAACUCCCAGGAUUCCAUAGCAUUGAGCCAUGGCAGUUCAAGUGGUGCCAAACUUCAUCAAUUUUGGUGUAGAUGUACCCUUGGUUUCUAUGGCUGAGCAGGGAUUUGAACCCUGGCCUCUGAAGUCACACUCAAAUCACUGCACCUUUCUCGCUUACGGCUGUGAUCCUAGAAGCUCCUUUGGGAGUAAAUAUUAUUGAUGCAGAGGAACUAAUUCCUUUGCUCAGGAUCACAUUGCACCACGCCUAGAAAUGUAAUACACUUGCAAUUCAUGGGAGAAAGGGUGCAUAGCUACAGACUUAAAAUACAUAACACUUGUUGCUGCUACUCCUUGAAAACUGAUCUGUUGCAUACAUAAAAAUACCCAUGGAUAUUUGUGGAGAUCCUAUGGUCCAGAUUCAUGGAGAGCUAUGGGCAUCACACUUCUUUACAGUAGUUUGUUUCCGAAAAUGAUCACAUAGUUUGUUUUAAAGGUUUUUGCAAAAAAAGAACACAUCCUAAAACCAAGUACAAUAGAGUCUCACUUAUCCAAGCUAAAAGGGCAGGCAGAACCUUGGAUAAGCGAAUAUCUUGGAUAAUAAUGAGGGAUUAAGGAAAAGCCUAUUAAACAUCAAAUUAGGUUAUGAUUUUACAAAUUAAGCACCAAAACAUCUUGUCAUACAACAAAUUUGACAGAAAAAGUAGUUCAAUACGCAUUAAUGUUAUGUUGUAAUUACUGUAUUUACGAAUUUAGCACCAAAAUAUCACGAUAUAUUGAAAAGACUGACUACAACAAUGCCUUGGAUAAUCCAGAACCUUGGAUAAGCGAGUGUUGGAUAAGUGAGACUACUGUAAUGCAGAGUAGAUCCACUGAAUCAACUGGAUUUACCUAUAUGUUGACUCGUAAUUCGACAAUUGUGAUUCAAUGGAUUUAAUUUAGUUAAGACUAACCAAUAGGAUUCCAGCCAUUUAUUUGCAUAACAAAAUAAACUAGCAAACUGCAAUAGCUGUGAUGAGCCACCAUAUAUUAACUUGUGCAACUUUAAAGCAAACCACACUGAAUUCAAUGUUAUUUCAUAGGAUGUAAAAAUGUAGCCUGAGGCUAUUUUUAAAGUGUUGUUAAAGCCAAUUUAUAGUUGGGCUUUAUGGGUUAUUAGUAGUACACAAAAGGAUCUUUGUACAGACCUUAACAGUCUGAGAGAUUGAAGUUAAUAGCAAUACAUUUCAUAUUCUUAUACAGUGUUCCCUUGCUACUUUGCAGUUCACUUUUCGCUCCCUCGCUGUUUCGCGGGUUUUCAAUUAAUGUUAAUGUACACAUUUAUCACAGUAUUUUUGCCAUUUUGCUGGUUUUUGCAGUAUACAAAGGGUUUUGGAAGGGGGGGGGAAGGGAGAAAUAAAGUGAAAGGGGGGAGGGUAGGGAAGGGUUGAAAAUAAAAAACGUUUAUUUAUCUUCCAUUUUUCUUCUCUGCCGGUGUACUGUAUAUUGUAGCUGCUAAAAUAAAGUACAGAUUGCAUUGUAGUAAGUGGUCUAUGGUUUGCUCUCCUCCACACAUAGAAUAAAUAUAGUAUCCCUACUUUGCGGAUUUUCACUUACUGCGGGUGGUCCUGGAACGUAACCCCCACGAUAAGUGAAGGAACACUGUACUCAUGCUAUUGACUUUGUUCUUUCAGUCUCUUAGAGCAUCAGACACCUCGUUCUGCAUUUGUUAAAGCAAGAAAUCAUUCUGGUCAAGGAUGAUCUUAAUAAACACUAACCAAAAUUCUUUGCCGCUUCUAGAGGUGCACCUACACUAUAGAAUUAAUGCAGUUUUGAUACCACUUUAAGUGCUGUGGCUCAAUGGUAUGGCAUUAUGGAUUUUUGGUUGGUGAGGCAACAGCACUCUUUGGCACAGAAGGCUAAAGACCUUGUGAAACCAUAACUCCUAUGAUACUAUAGUAUUGAGCCAUGCCAACGAUACAACUGCCUGAAAUUGCCAUUUCUAAAAUUCAAUGACUUGCUGUCAGAUGGCAGUGUGGAGAGCAGCUUCUGCAGGGAAAUGGUGAGUGGCAGUGCUGCUUCUUGGUCGUUCUUACUGGACAAGUCACAUUAAAUGGUCACAUUAAAUGGUCAGGAUGGGGCCUGAGAUGAGCAUGCUGACCUGGCUUGCAUUGCAGAGACUGGACUGGACGAAACUGAUGUGAGGAAUUAACCUCUCACAGCUUUCUUUUUGUGGGUUCUCCAUACAGUUAUUCCUUUAACAGUUGCAAUGUAAUUAUAUUUUAAUUAAACCCUUACCUUAAAAUUUUGUGAGCUAUCUUAUAUUCCAUCCCUGGAGAAAAGUAGGGUAUAUCUUUAAUUAAAUGCAACAAAUAAAUACAUAAAUAAGAUAUGCAUAUAGCACUAUAUUACUUUCAGACGUGGAAGGGCGAUUGAUGAAAGUCAAGAAAGAAAAUGUUGAACAUAAAAUAAAAA
This is a long non-coding RNA of Anolis carolinensis (green anole), 3955 nucleotides long. RefSeq lists it as uncharacterized. Lineage: Eukaryota; Metazoa; Chordata; Lepidosauria; Squamata; Anolidae. The transcript is spliced from 2 exons. The record is from RefSeq and is a predicted model, not a curated record.